AAUCAACGCUGGCGGCGUGCCUAACACAUGCAAGUCGAACGCGAAAGCGUCUUCGGACGUGAGUAGAGUGGCGUCCGGGUGAGUAACACGUAGGUAAUCUACCUUCGGGUGGGGAAUAACGCCUCGAAAGAGGCGCUAAUACCGCAUAACGCAGCGGCAGCUAAUGCUGAUCAGUUGUUAAGGCGGGGGACCGAGAGAUCGGCCUCGCGCCUGAAGAGGAGCCUGCAGCAGAUUAGCUAGUUGGCGGGGUAACGGCCCACCAAGGCGACGAUCUGUAGCUGGUCUGAGAGGACGGCCAGCCACACUGGCACUGACACACGGGCCAGACUCCUACGGGAGCAGCAGU
RNAcentral lists this ribosomal RNA (346 nucleotides) under uncultured bacterium. RNAcentral describes it as "bacterial SSU rRNA". It matches the Rfam family "Bacterial small subunit ribosomal RNA", at positions 32 to 355 of the family's 1533-position model. The record is from RNAcentral.